Molecule: transfer RNA, 87 nt
Filed under: Nitrososphaerota archaeon
Lineage: Archaea; Thermoproteati; Nitrososphaerota
Description: tRNA-Leu
Rfam family: tRNA
About the family: Transfer RNA (tRNA) molecules are approximately 80 nucleotides in length. Their secondary structure includes four short double-helical elements and three loops (D, anti-codon, and T loops). Further hydrogen bonds mediate the characteristic L-shaped molecular structure. tRNAs have two regions of fundamental functional importance: the anti-codon, which is responsible for specific mRNA codon recognition, and the 3' end, to which the tRNAs corresponding amino acid is attached (by aminoacyl-tRNA synthetases). tRNAs cope with the degeneracy of the genetic code in two manners: having more than one tRNA (with a specific anti-codon) for a particular amino acid; and 'wobble' base-pairing, i.e. permitting non-standard base-pairing at the 3rd anti-codon position.
Source: RNAcentral
CGGCGCGUGCCGGAGCCAGGUCAAACGGGCGAGGUCCAAACCCUCGUGUGGGAAGCCACUUCACAGGUUCAAAUCCUGUCGCGCCGA